UGGGGAAUUUUGGACAAUGGGCGCAAGCCUGAUCCAGCAAUGCCGCGUGAGUGAAGAAGGCCUUCGGGUUGUAAAGCUCUUUCAGUCGAGAAGAAAAGGCUGCAGUGAAUAACUGUAGUUCAUGACGGUAUCGACAGAAGAAGCACCGGCUAACUACGUGCCAGCAGCCGCGGUAAUACGUAGGGUGCGAGCGUUAAUCGGAAUUACUGGGCGUAAAGGGUGCGCAGGCGGUUUUGUAAGUCAGAUGUGAAAUCCCCGGGCUUAACCUGGGAAUUGCGUUUGAAACUACAAGACUAGAGUGUGGCAGAGGGAGGUGGAAUUCCAUGUGUAGCAGUGAAAUGCGUAGAGAUAUGGAAGAACAUCGAUGGCGAAGGCAGCCUCCUGGGUUAACACUGACGCUCAUGCACGAAAGCGUGGGGAGCAAACAGGAUUAGAUACCCUGGUAGUCCACGCCCUAAACGAUGUCAACUAGUUGUUGGGCCUUAUUAGGCUUAGUAACGAAGCUAACGCGUGAAGU
RNAcentral lists this ribosomal RNA (517 nucleotides) under uncultured bacterium. RNAcentral describes it as "bacterial SSU rRNA". It matches the Rfam family "Bacterial small subunit ribosomal RNA", at positions 355 to 865 of the family's 1533-position model. The record is from RNAcentral.